RNAcentral lists this ribosomal RNA (870 nucleotides) under uncultured bacterium. Its description in RNAcentral is "bacterial SSU rRNA". It matches the Rfam family "Bacterial small subunit ribosomal RNA", at positions 9 to 873 of the family's 1533-position model. The record is from RNAcentral.
GAGUUUGAUCCUGGCUCAGGAUGAACGCUGGCGGCGUGCCUAAUACAUGCAAGUCGAACGGAGAUAGGCUAGCAAUAGGCUAUCUUAGUGGCGAACGGGUGAGUAACGCGUAGGCGACCUGCCCCGAAGAGCGGGACAACAGUUCGAAAGGACUGCUAAUACCGCCUGAGGUCGGAGGAGUUAGAGACCUUCGACGAAAGGACUGUAGCGAUAUAGUCCGCUUUGGGAGGGGCCUGCGUCCCAUCAGCUAGUUGGCGAGGUAACGGCCCACCAAGGCGACGACGGGUAGGGGACCUGAGAGGGUGGCCCCCCACACUGGCACUGAAACACGGGCCAGACACCUACGGGUGGCAGCAGUAGGGAAUAUUGCACAAUGGGCGCAAGCCUGAUGCAGCAACGCCGCGUGCGCGAAGAAGGCCUUCGGGUUGUAAAGCGCUUUUCUGGAGGACGAGGAAGGACGGUACUCCAGGAAGAAGGAUCGGCUAACUACGUGCCAGCAGCCGCGGUAACACGUAGGAUCCGAGCGUUAUCCGAAUUUACUGGGCGUAAAGCGCGUGCAGGCGGCUGGGUAAGUUGGACGUGAAAUCUCCCGGCUCAACUGGGAGGGGUCGUUCAAGACUGCCUGGCUAGAGGGCGGUAGAGGGAGGUGGAUUUCCCGGUGUAGUGGUGAAAUGCGUAGAUAUCGGGAGGAACACCAGUGGCGAAAGCGGCCUCCUGGACCGCCCCUGACGCUCAGACGCGAAAGCUAGGGAGCGAACGGGAUUAGAUACCCCGGUAGUCCUAGCCGUAAACGAUGUGGACUGGGCGUCGGUGGGGUAAAAUCCGCCGGUGCCGUAGCCAACGCGAUAAGUCCACCGCCCUGGGGACUAC